Molecule: ribosomal RNA, 253 nt
Filed under: uncultured bacterium
Lineage: Bacteria
Description: partial 16S ribosomal RNA
Rfam family: Bacterial small subunit ribosomal RNA
Source: RNAcentral
UACGUAGGGACCAAGCGUUGUCCGGAAUUAUUGGGCGUAAAGAGCUCGUAGGCGGCUGUCCACGUCGGAUGUGAAAGCUCGGGGCUCAACCCUGAGAGGCCAUUCGAUACGGGACGGCUAGAGGUAGGUAGGGGAGAUUGGAAUUCCUGGUGUAGCGGUGAAAUGCGCAGAUAUCAGGAGGAACACCGGUGGCGAAGGCGGAUCUCUGGGCCGAUACUGACGCUGAGGAGCGAAAGCGUGGGGAGCGAACAGG